UGUUAAAAAAUUCAUUCCUUUGUACUAUUAAAAACUGAUAUGAUUGAUAAAAAAAAUCAAACAGUAACAUGUGGUAUGUCACGUGCACCUCAUAUCAACGUACAAAGACUAUUUUUUAAUAGUAGAAUGGAUGUAAUUUAAUA
Molecule: microRNA precursor, 143 nt
Filed under: Gossypium hirsutum (cotton)
Lineage: Eukaryota; Viridiplantae; Streptophyta; Magnoliopsida; Malvales; Malvaceae
Also listed under: 1 other name
Description: MIR7502 microRNA precursor family
Rfam family: MIR7502 microRNA precursor family
Source: Rfam by way of RNAcentral